GCCACCUUAGCUCAGUUGGCAGAGCGGUUCAUUCGUAAUGAACAGGUCGCCGGUUCGACUCCGGCAGGUGGCUCCA
This 76-nucleotide transfer RNA is filed under the name Planctomycetota bacterium. Its description in RNAcentral is "tRNA-Thr". It matches the Rfam family "tRNA". From Rfam's summary of the family: Transfer RNA (tRNA) molecules are approximately 80 nucleotides in length. Their secondary structure includes four short double-helical elements and three loops (D, anti-codon, and T loops). Further hydrogen bonds mediate the characteristic L-shaped molecular structure. tRNAs have two regions of fundamental functional importance: the anti-codon, which is responsible for specific mRNA codon recognition, and the 3' end, to which the tRNAs corresponding amino acid is attached (by aminoacyl-tRNA synthetases). tRNAs cope with the degeneracy of the genetic code in two manners: having more than one tRNA (with a specific anti-codon) for a particular amino acid; and 'wobble' base-pairing, i.e. permitting non-standard base-pairing at the 3rd anti-codon position. The record is from RNAcentral. Lineage: Bacteria; Pseudomonadati; Planctomycetota.